Molecule: transfer RNA, 71 nt
Filed under: Loxodonta africana (African savanna elephant)
Lineage: Eukaryota; Metazoa; Chordata; Mammalia; Proboscidea; Elephantidae
Rfam family: tRNA
About the family: Transfer RNA (tRNA) molecules are approximately 80 nucleotides in length. Their secondary structure includes four short double-helical elements and three loops (D, anti-codon, and T loops).
Source: Rfam by way of RNAcentral
UCAGGGGUGGUUCAGUGGUAGAAUUCUCACCUUCCAUGUGGGAGACACCGGUUCAGUUCCCAUCCAUUGCA